GUACAUCAUGGCCCCGUGAGGUUUUAUCAUUUGAGACAUACAUAUUUUACUGCAGUUGAAAGAAUAUCGAAAAACAUCAGAACAAGUCAUACAAAAUUACUGAAGUGGUUUAGCAUCAGCUAGAUCCAUUAGUAGCAAAUCUUCUGGUACAUAGGAAACCAAAUCUUCAUUUUUCAUAGGACCGGAUUAAACUAAGCUAACUAAGUAGCAGAAAAAUUUGAAAAUUUAGUUAACUUCCAGAGACGCGCACUGGCCUGGGGAUGAUUGCUCUGAUAAUAUUGUCCUUCUUUUCUCUAACUAAACAAUUGCCUUUUAAAAUUAGUGAUUAAAUUGAACAAAUGAGAUUAAAUUGUGUUCCGUAAACAUCUGCAUUAAAUAUGCCAUAUUAAGUUUACAUAGUGAUCGGAUACUUUCUGUUACUUAUUGUUAGUUAAUUAUUAGUUUCUUUCCCUCAUUUCAAUCACUAGUUUCCAUAAUUAGCACAUUUUUCUCUCACUAAGACUAUAAAAAAAUUAAAAUAUCUAAUAUAUCCGGAACAUAUUGGGUAAAUGCUCACCAUUUUUUAGUGCAAAUAU
RNAcentral lists this long non-coding RNA (575 nucleotides) under Phoenix dactylifera (date palm). RNAcentral's name for it is "long non-coding RNA (PDAC_LNC021418)". The record is from RNAcentral. Lineage: Eukaryota; Viridiplantae; Streptophyta; Magnoliopsida; Arecales; Arecaceae.